Medicago truncatula (barrel medic) is the source of this 2739-nucleotide RNA transcript. It is a transcript of the gene named SOSS complex subunit B homolog, with no coding region annotated. NCBI's taxonomy places the organism in Eukaryota, Viridiplantae, Streptophyta, Magnoliopsida, Fabales, Fabaceae. The transcript has 2 exons. The record is from RefSeq and is a predicted model, not a curated record.
AGCUAUUACUUUCAAUUACUGUUCCUUCUUUUUCCUCAUCUCUAUUUUAAUUUAGUGAAAGCAAUGUUCAUUGUUUCGCCCGUGAUUGUUUGUUUAUAUCAUGAUAUAUUGCAAAUUGUUUAAAUCUUAUUACACAAAUUUGGGAAGGAAAAAAAGUACCUUGUCCCUCUUUAGAUAAACAACUUAUUUGCAACGUAUAGCUCAAAUAAGCGCUUAAGUGUAGAAAAAAAAAAAAAAAGUUUAAUUAUUUUUGUAUAAGCUAUAAGCUAUCUUAGAAAUUUUAUCACUCAAACUGAAAGGAAAAUUUUAUCAUACAGUUGUUGUACGACCAGCAUUGUUGUAUGAGACAAAAUGUUGGGUGGUAAAGAAUCAACGCGAGAAUAAAAUAAGGAUAGUGGAGAUGAGGAUGUUGCAUUGGAUGUGUGGUAAGACUAGACAUGAUAGAAUUAGAAAUGAAAACAUUAGAGAGGGUGUUGGGGUAGCACCAUUCGUAGAAAAGAUGGUGGAAAAUCAUCUUACGUGGUUUGAGCAUGUAGAGAAAAGAUCUAUAGAUUAUGUAGUGAGAGUAGAGCAAAUAGAGGGUAGUCAAAUCACUAAAGCUAGAGAAAGACCUAGGAAAACUAUAAGAGAAACUAUUAAGAAAGAUCUAGAGAUUAAUGAGUCGGAGAGGGUAAUGAUAUAUGAUAGAACAUUAUGGCGUUGUUUGAUCCAUGAAGCCAACCCCACUUAGUUGUAUAAGGAUUGGUUGUUGUUGUAUAUAGGUUUAGUUAAGAAAAUUGAUAGUGAAUAUUGGAUAGCUUAAAGAUAUGGUAACUAAAACUGAUAAUGCAAACCCUCUGAUGAACACAAAUUCUUCAAAUUUGUAUCACUACUACACUAGUAGUAAAUAUAGCUGAGGAAGGUGAUGAAAAUGCAGUUGUGGGAGAGGGAAGUAAGAUUAGGAAAUCUAACGUGUGGAGUCAUUUCUCCCUUGGUAGUUACCAAAGGGGGACAUAAGGCAAAAAUAAUCAUUUUCGUGUUUUAUGGUACACUUGGAUAUGUGGUAAAGAUUAGAUAAAGAAGAUGUUUUAGACCGAAGAAAUUAUGUGGGUUAUAACAGUUAAAGCUUGGAGGGUUGUGGCUGAACUUGUAACAUAUUAUGGAAUAUUGUAAAUUUGUACUUGUAACAUAUUAUGGAAUAUUGUAAAGUUGCAGAAUGAUGAAUAUUCUUUUAGAACAUAGAUUUUUGGUGCCGUCUAAGGUCUUAUUUGCAAGUGAAUGUUACCAACUAUUUUUGGAUGAGAAGAAAAAGUGUAAGGCUUGGUUCAUAAAAUGCAGCAUUAAUGUUUGUAUGACAACUGAUUGUUGGACGUCAAAUCAUAAUCUAGGUUACAUGUGCUUGACGAUACAUUUCAUUGAUGAAGAAUGGAGACUAAAAAGAAAGUAUCCUUAAGUUUUGUUUAAUUGAAAAUCAUAAUGUUGAAACCAGUGUAAGAGAAAUUGGAAGAUGUUUAACCCUGUAAAACUAAGAAGAAUGAAAAAAUAAAUUGUGAGAACUUGAGAAUCAUAAAGAUUGGGUGGGAGAGAAGGGUGGCUUGACAUAUGGAGAAAAUAAAAGAUGGAAAGUAGGAGAUAGGAGAUGACUUGAUUAAAUACAAAAUGAAAAUAAGAUUAGUUUCUACAUACGACUAUAUAUAAGAAUAUAAGAAUUAUAUUAUACAAUUUUUUUUUUUAGAAAAAGACUAUUUUAUUUAUUUAUAAGUUCUAUCUCUCACAGUAGUACUGCGUGUGAGAAUUAUUACAUGGCUACUUGAAUUUAAUUUACACUCACCAUGUUCCCACUUUCCCUUGAGUUUGUAGACGCAAGAAGUUAAACAUAGUCUUAUACAUCCUUUCUUGUAAACCACUGAAGACAGAUUUUAAAUGAUCAAUUGAGUUGGAAGUAUGAAUUUUUACAAAUGAGAUAAAACAGCCUAAAAAGCUUAGUUCAUCACUUGCAGGUUCCCCAGACUCUUCAGAUUUAUUUAUCCAUCUCUAAUCUGAGAUCUGAUUAUCUAGAAAAUAGAUGCACAUACACAUGCACAUGUAGAGAUACUAUUAUAUAUUAUUUUUCUUAAUGGCAUAGGGAACCAUCAUACAAUUAUAUGAGUAUAGAAAUUUGGGAAGGACUCUUGAUAUGUCUUUUGCACAACAACACAAAGGAGAGUGGAAAUUAGAGAAUAUUGGAGAAACUAGAGAACUAAUUUAUUUUGUUAUCAUUCUCACAGCAGUGGCGGAACUGGGGGGUGGCAAGGGGGAGCCACCGCCACCCCAUUCUAAAAAUAAAUAAAUUUUUUUAUAUAUUGGAAAUUACAAAAAUAUCCUUCAAUAGUACUAAUAUUUCCUAUUCAGUCUCAUUUCCUCUUCCCGUUUCUCUUUCAUCUGAGAACAAGUGAGAAACGCGAUCCUUUUCUUCUCCCAACCAAAGCAAAUCGAUCCACCACCGCCGGUGAGCCGCGACCACUCUCCUCCUUCUCCAUCCAUCACUGCCGCCGCGAUUACUCUCCUCCUUCUUCAGUUUAGAGAGUUAUCUCCAUCUCUCUCCACAAACCCUAAUUGUUGUAACUUGUAAGUAUUAUUGAUGUAGGACUAAACUUUUUACAUCUUAAACUGCUCCAAAUUGAAAGCUAAUGGAGUGGAAUGGAUGAUGACUCAAGAAGAUAUGCAGUUAAAAUGCCGUAUAUUUGAUGGUUGUUUGAAAUUGUGAAUAUUUUCAUGUAA